Long non-coding RNA from Pyrus x bretschneideri (Chinese white pear), 899 nucleotides. RefSeq lists it as uncharacterized. Lineage: Eukaryota; Viridiplantae; Streptophyta; Magnoliopsida; Rosales; Rosaceae. The transcript is spliced from 2 exons. The record is from RefSeq and is a predicted model, not a curated record.
CCCUGGGAUUCCAAAUGAAAAGCCAUAGGUUUCUCUCAUUGCUUUCAUUUCUUAGUGUAAUUAGAAACCCUAGGUCAUUCUCUCUCUAGAAACCGAAAGAGGUCUUCUCAUUUCUCUCAGCCCUUUCUCAAAUCAACACAAACCUUAGGUAGAAGCCAUAGCCACUCCUCUAUCAACUAUGAGAAAUGUCUUCAUAACUCUCGACACAAAAUCUAGUCUUCAUUGUUGUUCAACACAAACCCUUCGCCUCCAUUUCUCUCGAUUUGAAAUUGUAAUCCAUGCUGCCAUGAUUCUUGGUCCGGUUCAUGGAAGCCAUCAUCUGCACUGGAUCUUAGUAGCGAAACCCCUAAGUCAAAGGUAAAAAUCUCAUUUUGCUGCCAUAGAGUUCCAUUGAGUUUAUUGUCAUGGAAAAAUCAAAGAACUAACACAUCCAUGUAACAUUUUUUUUUCUUUUUUGUGAGAGUACACGGAUCUACAACAAGGGAGGCGCACCAACGCCCAAAAGUUCCAGAUCCAUGGUGGAUCGUCCAAGACUCCCCCAUCUUUAGAGCGGACUCCAAAGCUUGGAUACAACAUUACACAAGAGAGACAAAACACAGAUCAAAAUCCAAAUUAAAGAUUCAUGCCCUCAGUUGACUGUGUUGGUUUUGCAUGUCAAAGAUCUGUUGAUUUGCAAGAAUGAUAAAGUUUGGGGGUAGUUUGCGUAGGGUUCUCACGGAUUCGUUCACUGGUUGUUUUGUUGCACGAAUACUUGAGAUUUGUUCGCUGGAAAAUGCAAUGAAUGUAGGGAGGCCAACUUGAAAGGGAAAGAAAUGGUUCAAAAGGUGGUUUAUAUUUUUUUAUUAUUAAUAUAUUUUCUAUCGAUUUUAUCUGACAGAUAAUACUUUUCGUAGUAGUGA